Molecule: non-coding RNA, 48 nt
Filed under: Schistosoma haematobium
Lineage: Eukaryota; Metazoa; Platyhelminthes; Trematoda; Strigeidida; Schistosomatidae
Source: RNAcentral
ACCCAGCUGAUGAGUCCUAAAUAGAACGAAACGUGCGUCAAACUGGAU